AGCUCUGUAAGCGUAUACCAAAGUUGUUGCAGUUAAAACGCUCGUAGUCGAAUUUUGGCGGCUUCCGUGAUUUGUCCGCAAGGACAAUUUUGCGGCGGCCGCCUUUGUGGAUGGGGGGUCGAUGGUGCUUUAUUGCCUCGUCGAGUCACCGCCACCGUUUACUGUGAAAAAAUUAGAGUGUUCAAAGCGGGCGAUUGCCAUUGAAUACAUUAGCAUGGAAUAAUAGAAUAGGACCUGAGUCUUAUUCUGUUGGUUUGUUAAGUUCAGGUAAUGAUUAAGAGGGACGGUUGGGGGCAUUUGUAUUCCGGCGCUAGAGGUGAAAUUCUUGGAUUGCCGGAAGACAAACAGCUGCGAAAGCGUCUGCCAAGGACGUUUUCA
This 378-nucleotide ribosomal RNA is filed under the name uncultured eukaryote. RNAcentral's name for it is "SSU rRNA". It matches the Rfam family "Eukaryotic small subunit ribosomal RNA", at positions 587 to 972 of the family's 1831-position model. The record is from RNAcentral.